This is a long non-coding RNA of Heterocephalus glaber (naked mole-rat), 2418 nucleotides long. The record is from Ensembl. Lineage: Eukaryota; Metazoa; Chordata; Mammalia; Rodentia; Bathyergidae.
UGCUCACCUUGGCCCUCCGUGUGACGCGCAGGGCCGGGCACCCUGGGCGGAGAGCCCGGGGCGAGCACCUGGGGCUGCGGACCCGCGGAGGGCCCAGGAGGGGGGCAUCGGAAGCCAAGCCCUACGCUUGUGCAGACAAUGAGUGGUGCGGUGGCGGGGGUCCCAGUGGCGGAUCCCGUCCUCGCCUCGCCCUCUCGCCGGCUCUGCCGCUCCGGUGCCGCUCCGCGCCGGCUGGGGACCCGCGUGGGGCCCGCUUUUUGUUUACAGACCUCGUCAUUGGGCGAGAGUCGAGCGCUGCGCCCCCAGGCCCCGGCCGCUGUCGCUGUCGCCUGCCUCCGCCGAGUGGGGAGAAGUUGGCGCGCGCCGGCAGUAGCCCCGGUGGUCCUUCGACAGUCAGGCCGACUUGCAGCCCGUCUUUUCCUGCGCGUCGGCAGAUUUUGAAGGACUCGUGGGAGCCCCCGGGACGCCGCAAACGCCUGCUUGCUUCAGCGGUACCCACGCGGCGCCGUGCAGCAGAGGUGUGGCGCCUUGGAGCCCUCGCGGUCGGGAUCGGGUUACGGUGCCGGCCGAGCCGCGCACGCUCGGACAGGCUGCGCCCGGCCGGGGGGGUCAGGCAUACUCGGUGCCAGAGCCUGCUCAGGGUAGCUCUCCAGCUGGGCGACCCGGCUGGAGCUAGCCUCAGUUUGUGUGCCUGUAGAGUGGGGCUAAUGAGUAUCCAGAGGGGAUGGAUGGGUUGCGCGGGACAGUGAUUGGUCACACAUAAAACACUGGGGUCAGGUUGGCCCUCUGUUAGAAGGGCCCCCAGCGCCCCCUUUUCCGAAUUCCCUAGGCUUUCAGCCCCCAUUUGCAAAGACCCGGAGGACUGCUGUUUUCAGCUGCGGAACAGGAGUUGUUUGACUUGGCUUUAGAUGUAAUUAUACUUAUCUUGUUUGACUUUCCAUUGGGUUUUAGUUGUUUCUUCUUCCUUCUUCCUGCAGACUCUGUGAGGCCCCGACCUGGGCUGGCAGGAGGGAGGAACCCGGCAGCUGGGCAGGGUGGCUGGUUGAUGGCUGCAUUCCAGAUGUUAACACUGUCAGAAGCUUGACUUCCAUGUGGUAUUAUGACAAGUACUGGAGAAGGCUUAUGAUCGCCCAGUGGAUGAGACAUGUAUCCGUGCAUACAUGGAUCUGUGCAUACAUGAAGACAGGACUGUAAGGCAGAAGGAGAAGUAUGCAAAACUUAGAAGAGAAAUGCCUGUUGUGUUAGGAUCUGCAGAGGGAGAUCUUUUCUCCUGAUCACUGCCAUAAAUAUUUGAAGAUGAGAUCGGGGUCCUCAAAUUAUUGUCUGCGGACCAAAUCCUGCAGGCUUUCUGGUUUUGUGCAAUCAUUGAAAUACAAAUACUUUUUAUAUUUUUAAAUGGCUGAGAAUUAAAAAAACCCCACAAGGGCAAUAUAGUCAUGUGCCACAAACCAUGUUUCAGUCAGUAAUGGGUCAUACAUUGUUCAGUGGCCCCAUAUAAGAUUUCGUUGUCUGCGAUGUUGUAGCUGGUUUAGUUUGUAUACAUACAUUCUAUGAUGUUUGUACAACGAUGAAGUAGCCUAACGAUGAGUUUCUCAAAAUGUAUCCCCCUCAUUAAGUGAUACACAGCUGUAAUAAUUUGUGCCCUGUGAAAAUAAUAUGAAUUUCAAAUUUCAGUGUUCACAAUAAAGUUUUAUUGGAACAAAGCCAUACUUGCUCAUAUUGCCUGUGGUUGCUUUUACAUUCCAAUAACAGAAGCGAAUCAUCACGACAGAGAGUAUGGCCUUCAAAGCCUAAAAUAUUUAUUACCUGACCCUUUAUAGGAAAGAGUUUGCCCAUGCUGGACUUUGAGUUAUCCAACACUUACAGUAUCGUUGUCCUGUCUGAUGUCCUUUUUCCUCUAUCACCACAUACCCACUAUUCCCUUCUCAUUCCAUCCAUCCAUCCAUCCAUCCAUCCACCCAUCCUUGGUUCCUGGGCCAUCCUGGCAUCAGCAGUUCUUGGAUUUGUUUGUGGGAUGGUUAGUAAUGAUUGCUGUAGGUAGAGCUGCGCUCUCCUCUGCAUCCAAGCCUGGUGCCUCAGGGUUUCCUCAGUGCAACUGUCCCUUGCUCAAACACACCCCCGACACCCACUUCAGUUGCUGAUUGCAUGUCAUCCAUUGGCUCCCAGCAGAGGCCUUUGAAGGACUUCUCCUUGCUCACAAUUUUAGCUUGUGAAAUGGAGUCCCAUUCAUUAAACUGUAAGACACCACUUGACAAGGGAUUUUAUUUUUUAAAUGGCCCCUUGCUUAGCAAAUUUAUUCCUCCUGAGCUACUUUCAUUUUUGGUAAUCUAUAGAAAAGUAAAACAAUGCAGUAAAAUAAUGCAUUAAUGGAAUCUGUAAUCUUUCUCUAGGCACUGGGAACACUGCAAAGCUUGCCAU